This 465-nucleotide ribosomal RNA is filed under the name uncultured bacterium. RNAcentral's name for it is "partial 16S ribosomal RNA". It matches the Rfam family "Bacterial small subunit ribosomal RNA", at positions 28 to 507 of the family's 1533-position model. The record is from RNAcentral.
GACGAACGCUGGCGGCGUGCUUAACACAUGCAAGUCGAACGGAAAGGCCCUGCUUGCAGGGUACUCGCGUGGCGAACGGGUGAGUAAAACGUGGGUGAUCUGUCCUGCACUUUGGGAUAAGACUGGGAAACUGGGUCUCAUAUAGGAUAGGAGCCAUUUUUAGUCUGAUGGUUGGAAAGUUUUUUCGGUGUAGGAUGAGCUCGCUGCCUAUCUGUUUGUUGGUGGGGUAAUGGCCUACCAAGGCGGCGACGGGUAGCCGGCCUGAGAGGGGGGACGGCCACAAUUGGGCUGGGAAUCGGGCCAGACUCCCACGGGAGGCAGCAGUGGGGAAUAUUUCCCAAUGGGGGCAAACCUGAUUCAGCGACGCCGGGGUGGGGGUUACGGGCUUCGGGUUUGAAACCCGUUUCGCUAGGGACGAAACUGUGUGUGACGGUACUUAGUUAAGAAGCACCGGCUAACUACGUG